RNAcentral lists this ribosomal RNA (404 nucleotides) under uncultured bacterium. RNAcentral describes it as "bacterial SSU rRNA". It matches the Rfam family "Bacterial small subunit ribosomal RNA", at positions 355 to 776 of the family's 1533-position model. The record is from RNAcentral.
UGGGGAAUAUUGGACAAUGGGGGAAACCCUGAUCCAGCAAUGCCGCGUGGGUGAUGAAGGCCUUCGGGUUGUAAAGCCCUUUUGGCGGGGACGAUGAUGACGGUACCCGCAGAAUAAGCCCCGGCUAACUUCGUGCCAGCAGCCGCGGUAAUACGAAGGGGGCUAGCGUUGUUCGGAAUUACUGGGCGUAAAGGGCGCGUAGGCGGUUGUGCAAGUCAGAUGUGAAAGCCCUGGGCUCAACCCAGGAGGUGCAUUUGAUACUGCACGACUAGAGUGUCGGAGAGGAUGGUGGAAUUCCCAGUGUAGAGGUGAAAUUCGUAGAUAUUGGGAAGAACACCGGUGGCGAAGGCGACCAUCUGGACGACAACUGACGCUGAGGCGCGAAAGCGUGGGGAGCAAACAGG